UGCUUCUCUGACUUUCCUUUUCUUUUUCUUUUGAACAUUGUCACCUUGAUCUUUGUCCAAAUCAAUAGUUUGGGGUGGUUCUGGUGUAGGCAUUUGUGAUAGAGUAUUUUCAGCCUGCUAAAAAGAUGAAUGUUCAUACCAUGUUAUUUUCAAUUAAGAAAUACCAACAAGGUAGCGAAUAAGAUAAACAACUUAUUAUGCAAUUUUACCUGAUUUUCGUCUGUGAGUAUUAAAGCAUUAAAGGUUGCAUCAGAACUCACUUCCUUAUCCAUAGUCAUAUCUAAAGUUAAAAAACAAAAAUCAUAAACAUUGCCUCAAUAUAAAUCAUGAUUUAGUGAAUAAAAAUCAUGAUUCUAAAUUCGGCAAACUAUCAAUAUAAAUAUUGCCUCUUUGCAUAAAUGUAAAAUUUUUCUUGCAAGGAUGAUCACGAAUCUAUAGAAAAUUCUAGACUAAGAAAUGAAUAACAAUCAUUCAUAUAAUAAACAACUGUAUGUAGAAAAUUCUAAACUCCAAAAUGAAUGGCACUCAUGAAUGGCAGUAAAAAAUGAAUAUUGUGUAGUUUCUGCAGUGUGGUAUUGGAUAAGUUGUCUUGAGUACAAAUUCACAGUAUAAUUAUACAAUUCACAAAAUAGUAAAUGCUCCAAAGGCUAAGUACACUAAGAUAUAGACAACAUAUAAUUUUAUAGUUCAGAUAUAGACAUAUAAUUAUAUGACUAAUCAAAAUAGUUAAAUUAUAAUUAACCAUAUUAAAUUCAAUACAAAAUAGUGAAAUAAAGUUUCUAAAAUAGGCCAAGGAAACAAUUGCAAUAUCACCGUCUACGACUACUACUGUAGUGUCUAGAAUCUAGAUACACAUGAAUUUUCUUCUUAAAAUUAUCAACAUAAGAUCUUAAAUGUAUAAUCAUAUCAUAUAUAGUCAUAUAUAGUCGUAUAAUUGAAAGCUUCUUCUUCUUUUCUUUUUUUAACCUUUUUUCGAUAACAUAUAAUCAUAUAUAGUCAUAAUAGGUAAAAUUAUAACUAACCAUAUUAAAUUCAAACACAACUUAUAUUAAAAUAGGUAAAAUUAAGAAGAAACAUAAGCAUGAAUCAAAUUAUUGGGAAGAAAAUGAAACAAAUUCAUCAUUGGAAAUGAAUUGAAGGAGAUGGAAAGGAAUUAGAAUCAAACCUGAUGAUGCAACAAUGGAAAAAUCGAAUUAAAGGAG
This 1202-nucleotide long non-coding RNA is filed under the name Medicago truncatula (barrel medic). RNAcentral describes it as "long non-coding RNA (MTRU_LNC008407)". Lineage: Eukaryota; Viridiplantae; Streptophyta; Magnoliopsida; Fabales; Fabaceae. The record is from RNAcentral.